AUUGAACGCUGGCGGCAUGCCUUACACAUGCAAGUCGAACGGCAGCACGGGAGCAAUCCUGGUGGCGAGUGGCGAACGGGUGAGUAAUAUAUCGGAACGUGCCCAGUCGUGGGGGAUAACGUAGCGAAAGCUACGCUAAUACCGCAUACGAUCUACGGAUGAAAGCGGGGGAUCGCAAGACCUCGCGCGAUUGGAGCGGCCGAUAUCAGAUUAGCUAGUUGGUGGGGUAAAAGCUCACCAAGGCGACGAUCUGUAGCUGGUCUGAGAGGACGACCAGCCACACUGGAACUGAGACACGGUCCAGACUCCUACGGGAGGCAGCAGUGGGGAAUUUUGGACAAUGGGCGCAAGCCUGAUCCAGCAAUGCCGCGUGCAGGAUGAAGGCCUUCGGUUGUAACUGCUUUGUACGGAACGAACGGUGAGCUCUAAUAAAGCUUGCUAAUGACGGUACCGUAAGAAUAAGACACCGGCUAACUACGUGCC
This 483-nucleotide ribosomal RNA is filed under the name uncultured bacterium. RNAcentral describes it as "bacterial SSU rRNA". It matches the Rfam family "Bacterial small subunit ribosomal RNA", at positions 30 to 509 of the family's 1533-position model. The record is from RNAcentral.